Molecule: ribosomal RNA, 484 nt
Filed under: uncultured bacterium
Lineage: Bacteria
Description: partial 16S ribosomal RNA
Rfam family: Bacterial small subunit ribosomal RNA
Source: RNAcentral
AUUGAACGCUGGCGGCAUGCUUUACACAUGCAAGUCGAACGGCAGCGCGGGCUUCGGCCUGGCGGCGAGUGGCGAACGGGUGAGUAAUACAUCGGAACGUGCCCAGUAGUGGGGGAUAGCUCGGCGAAAGCCGGAUUAAUACCGCAUACGACCUGAGGGUGAAAGCGGGGGAUCUUCGGACCUCUCGCUAUUGGAGCGGCCGAUGGCCGAUUAGCUAGUUGGUGGGGUAAAGGCCUACCAAGGCGACGAUCUGUAGCUGGUCUGAGAGGAGGACCAGCCACACUGGGACUGAGACACGGCCCAGACUCCUACGGGAGGCAGCAGUGGGGAAUUUUGGACAAUGGGCGAAAGCCUGAUCCAGCAAUGCCGCGUGUGUGAUGAAGGCCUUCGGGUUGUAAAGCACUUUUGGCGGGAACGAAAAGGACUGUGCCAAUACCACGGUUCGAUGACGGUACCCGCAGAAUAAGCACCGGCUAACUACGUG